RNAcentral lists this ribosomal RNA (292 nucleotides) under uncultured bacterium. RNAcentral's name for it is "partial 16S ribosomal RNA". It matches the Rfam family "Bacterial small subunit ribosomal RNA", at positions 505 to 796 of the family's 1533-position model. The record is from RNAcentral.
UUUCCAGCAGCCGCGGUAAUACAGAGGGGGCAAGCGUUGUUCGGAAUUACUGGGCGUAAAGGGCGCGUAGGCGGCCGCCUAAGUCAGACGUGAAAUCCCUCGGCUCAACCGGGGAACUGCGUCUGAUACUGGGUGGCUUGAAUUCGGGAGAGGGAUGCGGAAUUCCAGGUGUAGCGGUGAAAUGCGUAGAUAUCUGGAGGAACACCGGUGGCGAAGGCGGCAUCCUGGACCGAGAUUGACGCUGAGGCGCGAAAGCCAGGGGAGCAAACGGGAUUAGAAACCCCGGUAGUCC